CAGUGGGGAAUUGACAUCCUCGGGCCAUUUCCUCUGGCCACCGGGCAAAGGAAGUUCCUGGUCGUCUCCAUCGACUACUUCACUAAGUGGGUGGAAGCUGAGCCCCUCGCCCGGAUCACCGAGCAGAAGAUGCGGGAUUUCGUUUGGAAGUCCAUCAUUUGCAGAUUUGGGCUCCCCCGCAUCCUUAUCUCUGACAACGGUCGCCAGUUCGACAACAUCCAUUUCAGAGAGUUCUGCUCCGAGCUUGGCAUUGACCACCGCUUCACCUCGGUCGCGCAUCCUCAGACAAACGGAGAAACCGAGGUAACAAAUCGUACUAUUUUGCAGGGUCUCAAAACCAGGCUCGACAAAUCCAAAGGACAAUGGGUCGAAGACCUAUACAAUGUCCUGUGGGCUUACCGGACUACGUUCCGCGUCCCCACCGGCGAGACUCCCUUCAACCUAANNNNNNNNNNNNNNNNNNNNCGGGUCGAAGACCUAUACAAUGUCCUGUGGGCUUAUCGGACUACGUUCCGCGUCCCCACCGGCGAGACUCCCUUCAACCUGACAUAUGGGACGGAGGCCGUCAUUCCACUAGAGAUUGGGCUCCCCUCUCCAAGAGUCGAGCACCACGAUGCUAGCUCCAACUCUUCGCAGCUCAGAGGCAACCUCGACCUGAUCGAGGAAACAAGGGAGGUCGCCCGAGUGCGUUUGGCGAGGUACCAACAAAAGACAGCUCAGUACUACAACGCCAGGGUCAAAGUCAAAUCUUUCAGACCAGGGGACCUUGUCCUAAGAAGAGCUGAAACCUCCCGACCAACUGAGCGAGGGAAGCUGGCCCCGAAUUGGGAAGGACCAUACAGAGUCACGCGCAUUCGCCGACCCGGAGCUUAUCAAUUGGAGUCUCUAGAUGGGACUCCCAUUCCGCGGAGCUGGAGCUCUGAAAAUCUCCGCGUGUACCACCAGUAGAACCCUAAGGGGGUCCCUCGAUUAUUCAACCAUUAAAUUUCAUUCUAUGAAUUUCACUCUAUG
Molecule: long non-coding RNA, 1011 nt
Filed under: Phoenix dactylifera (date palm)
Lineage: Eukaryota; Viridiplantae; Streptophyta; Magnoliopsida; Arecales; Arecaceae
Description: long non-coding RNA (PDAC_LNC008447)
Source: RNAcentral